Molecule: ribosomal RNA, 773 nt
Filed under: uncultured Neocallimastigales
Lineage: Eukaryota; Fungi; Neocallimastigomycota; Neocallimastigomycetes; Neocallimastigales
Description: partial large subunit ribosomal RNA
Rfam family: Eukaryotic large subunit ribosomal RNA
Source: RNAcentral
GUACACGCUGUGACUAGCAUAUCAAUAAGCGGAGGAAAAGAAACUAACAAGGAUUCCCCUAGUAACGGCGAGUGAAGCGGGAAGAGCUCAAAUUUGAAAUCUUAAAGGGUUUCCCUUUACGAAUUGUAGUUUAAAGAAGUGUUUUCUGUUGAGGUUUUGGUAAAAGUUCUUUGGAAUAGGACAUCAUAGAGGGUGAGAAUCCCGUAUUUGACCUUUACUUUCAACUUUGUGAUACACUUUCAAAGAGUCGGAUUGUUUGGGAAUGCAGUCCAAAAUGGGUGGUAAAUUUCAUCUAAAGCUAAAUAUUGGCGAGAGACCGAUAGCGAACAAGUACCGUGAGGGAAAGAUGAAAAGAACUUUGAAAGAGAGUUAAACAGUACGUGAAAUUGUCAAAAGGGAAGCGUUUGACACCAGUGUUGUUUUUCUGAAAAUCAAUUAAAGAACUGUUUAUGCUAAGUUGUUUAGACUUUAUCAGCUAACUGUUUAGUUUUGAGCUUUUCUUUAAUGCACUUUUCAGUUAACAAGUCAACAUCAAUUUCUUUUGCUGUAAAAAAGCUUGAGGAAGGUGGCUUGAGAUUCGUCUUAAGUGUUUAUAGCCUCUUGCCUAUGCAGUCGGAGAGAUUGAGGUCUGCAGCGUAGAUCCUUCGGGGCUAAAUGCAUUUGUGCUAAGUUAUAGCAUUUUAUAGACAACUUGUUGACUAUGAUUUGUCUUGUAGCUUACUCGCUUAUGUUAUUUUACCUACGCUUAGGAUGUUGACGCGCGUGUGUGCGUG